Molecule: ribosomal RNA, 441 nt
Filed under: uncultured bacterium
Lineage: Bacteria
Description: partial 16S ribosomal RNA
Rfam family: Bacterial small subunit ribosomal RNA
Source: RNAcentral
CCUACGGGUGGCAGCAGUCGGGAAUAUUGCGCAAUGGAGGAAACUCUGACGCAGUGACGCCGCGUAUAGGAAGAAGGUCUUCGGAUUGUAAACUAUUGUCGUUAGGGAAGAAAAAGGACAGUACCUAAGGAGGAAGCUCCGGCUAACUACGUGCCAGCAGCCGCGGUAAUACGUAGGGAGCAAGCGUUAUCCGGAUUUAUUGGGUGUAAAGGGUGCGUAGACGGGAAUUUAAGUUAGUUGUGAAAUCCCUCGGCUCAACUGAGGAACUGCAACUAAAACUGGAUUUCUUGAGUGCUGGAGAGGAAAGCGGAAUUCCUAGUGUAGCGGUGAAAUGCGUAGAUAUUAGGAGGAACACCAGUGGCGAAGGCGGCUUUCUGGACAGUAACUGACGUUGAGGCACGAAAGUGUGGGGAGCAAACAGGAUUAGAUACCCCAGUAGUC